AGAGUUUGAUCCUGGCUCAGAACGAACGCUGGCGGCAGGCCUAACACAUGCAAGUCGAGCGCGCCUUCGGGUGAGCGGCGGACGGGUUAGUAACGCGUGGGAACGUGCCCUUUUCUACGGAAUAGCCUCUAGAAACGGAGAGUAAUACCGUAUACGCCCUUUGGGGGAAAGAUUUAUCGGAGAAGGAUCGGCCCGCGUUAGAUUAGGUAGUUGGUGGGGUAACGGCCUACCAAGCCUACGAUCUAUAGCUGGUUUUAGAGGAUGAUCAGCAACACUGGGACUGAGACACGGCCCAGACUCCUACGGGAGGCAGCAGUGGGGAAUCUUAGACAAUGGGGGCAACCCUGAUCUAGCCAUGCCGCGUGAGUGAUGAAGGCCUUAGGGUCGUAAAGCUCUUUCGCCUGUGAUGAUAAUGACAGUAGCAGGUAAAGAAACCCCGGCUAACUCCGUGCCAGCAGCCGCGGUAAUACGGAGGGGGUUAGCGUUGUUCGGAAUUACUGGGCGUAAAGCGCGCGUAGGCGGAUUAGAAAGUUGGGGGUGAAAUCCCGAGGCUCAACCUCGGAACUGCCUCCAAAACUGCUAGUCUAGAGUUCGAGAGAGGUGAGUGGAAUUCCGAGUGUAGAGGUGAAAUUCGUAGAUAUUCGGAGGAACACCAGUGGCGAAGGCGGCUCACUGGCUCGAUACUGACGCUGAGGUGCGAAAGUGUGGGGAGCAAACAGGAUUAGAUACCCUGGUAGUCCACACCGUAAACGAUGAAUGCCAGUCGUCGGAUAGUAUACUAUUCGGUGACACACCUAACGGAUUAAGCAUUCCGCCUGGGGAGUACGGUCGCAAGAUUAAAACUCAAAGGAAUUGACGG
Molecule: ribosomal RNA, 859 nt
Filed under: uncultured marine bacterium
Lineage: Bacteria
Description: bacterial SSU rRNA
Rfam family: Bacterial small subunit ribosomal RNA
Source: RNAcentral